RNAcentral lists this ribosomal RNA (466 nucleotides) under uncultured Klebsiella sp. RNAcentral describes it as "bacterial SSU rRNA". It matches the Rfam family "Bacterial small subunit ribosomal RNA", at positions 338 to 795 of the family's 1533-position model. The record is from RNAcentral. Lineage: Bacteria; Pseudomonadati; Pseudomonadota; Gammaproteobacteria; Enterobacterales; Enterobacteriaceae.
CCUACGGGUGGCAGCAGUGGGGAAUAUUGCACAAUGGGCGCAAGCCUGAUGCAGCCAUGCCGCGUGUGUGAAGAAGGCCUUCGGGUUGUAAAGCACUUUCAGCGGGGAGGAAGGCGUUAAGGUUAAUAACCUUGUCGAUUGACGUUACCCGCAGAAGAAGCACCGGCUAACUCCGUGCCAGCAGCCGCGGUAAUACGGAGGGUGCAAGCGUUAAUCGGAAUUACUGGGCGUAAAGCGCACGCAGGCGGUCUGUCAAGUCGGAUGUGAAAUCCCCGGGCUCAACCUGGGAACUGCAUUCGAAACUGGCAGGCUAGAGUCUUGUAGAGGGGGGUAGAAUUCCAGGGGUAGCGGUGAAAUGCGUAGAGAUCUGGAGGAAUACCGGUGGCGAAGGCGGCCCCCUGGACAAAGGCUUACGCUUAGGUGCGAAAGCGUGGGGAGCAAACAGGAUUAGAUACCCGGUGUAGUC